RNAcentral lists this ribosomal RNA (385 nucleotides) under Rondaniola bursaria. Its description in RNAcentral is "partial 12S ribosomal RNA". The record is from RNAcentral. Lineage: Eukaryota; Metazoa; Arthropoda; Insecta; Diptera; Cecidomyiidae.
UAUUAUAAAUUAAAUAAUUUUAUAUUAUAAAAUAUAUUUUAUAAAAAUUAAAUAAUAUGGCAGUAUUUUUUUUUAAUUAGAGGAUUUUGUUAUGUUAUAGAUAAUACACUUUAUAAAUUAUUUAAUUUAAUUAUAUUGUAUAUUGUUGUAUUAAACUAAUAUAUUUAUAAUGAUUAGUAAUAUAUUUAUACACAAUAAUAAUUCAAAUAAAUAUGCAUAUAAUAAUUAAAUUUUAAAUUAAAUACAAUAAUUAUAAAUUUAUGGAUAGUUUUUUUUAAAAAAAACUAAAAAUAGGAUUUAAUAGUAAAUUUUAAUAGAUAUUUUUUUUGAAUAAUUUUAAAAAUAUGUACAUAUUGCCCGUCGUUUUUAAAUUAUUUUAAAAUAA